This 75-nucleotide transfer RNA is filed under the name Hyphomicrobiaceae bacterium. Its description in RNAcentral is "tRNA-Val". It matches the Rfam family "tRNA". Rfam says of the family: Transfer RNA (tRNA) molecules are approximately 80 nucleotides in length. Their secondary structure includes four short double-helical elements and three loops (D, anti-codon, and T loops). RNAcentral also lists the same sequence under 1 other name. The record is from RNAcentral. Lineage: Bacteria; Pseudomonadati; Pseudomonadota; Alphaproteobacteria; Hyphomicrobiales; Hyphomicrobiaceae.
GGGCGAUUAGCUCAGCGGUAGAGCACACCCUUCACACGGGUGGGGUCGUAGGUUCAAUCCCUACAUCGCCCACCA